Molecule: long non-coding RNA, 1146 nt
Organism: Chelonus insularis
Lineage: Eukaryota; Metazoa; Arthropoda; Insecta; Hymenoptera; Braconidae
Exons: 3
Source: RefSeq, a predicted model, not a curated record
UGAGAAAAAUAAAAUAAAUGGUGGAGUAUGAAUUUUAAAACUCACUGGGAGGAUGUUUGAGUCAUCGUCUGCGAUUCAUACGCUACAUUAGACCAUCAAGCUCCAAACCUAAGUAUACAAGCAGACUCACAAGAUCAUUAAUUACGCCAAUAAAUUAAUUUAAAAAAAGAUUUCAAAAAGCAAUUGAUAAUAAAAGAAACAAAUAUCACCUAAAUAGAAGAUAAUUAAUUAAAAAAACAGUUGAUGAGAACAAUUGACCGAGAAUAAUCCCAUGUGAAUAUCAAUUAAUUGGAAUUUAAAAAAAAGGGGGAUAUAAAUGAUAAGAAAUUAAUUUUUAUAAAUAAACGAAGAGUAAAUUCAUCAUAUAAAAAACAAAUGAAUUGUUUUCUCACAGAAUUAGUAUCUUUAACAUACGUCAGUCUUUCGAUAACGAUAAUAAAUCAAUUUUAAUCUAAAAAAUGAAAGACAAACGACGUAUUUAAUUGGCACAUAUUUUUUUCAAGUUACACUCCGCUAGUUUUGAUUUAACUUUCGAUUAAGAUUAGUCAUAACUGGAAAUUAAAAUGGAAAAACGAAAAAGUAUGAGAAACCAGUAAAUGUAGAUCAUUAUCGAUUUUCUUAAAGUGCAAACCAAUAAAUGGCAAAGAUCCUGUAGAAAAGGAAUGAAUUUUUUUUUUGUUUUAUAAUGCAUGAUACUCUCAUAUAGCUAUCAUACACAUAUACUUGUUUGUAAAUUAGAUAUAUGGAUACUUGUACAUGGUAUGGAGGUACUUAUAAGAAAAUGUUGCACACUGAGACAUGAGAGUCAAGUGGACUUUUACUUUCACUAUUAAAGGAAACAUGGCAAACCGUUAUGCCACGGUUUUGUCAAAAAUUCUAGAAUAUUUUGUGGAUAUACGGGAUAAUGUGAAACUCUUGUCAAGUUUUAUCUAAAGGUAUGUGUACAUUUAAAAAUCGUCAAUCAACAGCACAAGUUGAAAAGAAUUCGGACAAAUUUCCUGCAGUGAAUGAGUCAUAGAAAAUCAUUUUCCUCUAAAGAGUUUUGAGUGACACGAGUUGAACAAAGAAUUUUCAAUGCGUCAUGAGGAAUUAGAUAUGAUAUAAUUAUAUCAGAAAAGACCAUUUCUAUGUAGUAAUUUAUAUGAA